RNAcentral lists this microRNA (19 nucleotides) under Moringa oleifera (horseradish tree). Its description in RNAcentral is "novel_miR_98". Lineage: Eukaryota; Viridiplantae; Streptophyta; Magnoliopsida; Brassicales; Moringaceae. The record is from RNAcentral. RNAcentral also lists the same sequence under 1 other name.
UGCCAAAGGAGAUUUGCCC